Molecule: ribosomal RNA, 1861 nt
Filed under: Xanthomonas euvesicatoria
Lineage: Bacteria; Pseudomonadati; Pseudomonadota; Gammaproteobacteria; Lysobacterales; Lysobacteraceae
Description: bacterial LSU rRNA
Rfam family: Bacterial large subunit ribosomal RNA
Source: RNAcentral
GUUAUAUGGUCAAGCGAAUAAGCGCACACGGUGGAUGCCUAGGCGGUCAGAGGCGAUGAAGGACGUGGUAGCCUGCGAAAAGUGUCGGGGAGUUGGCAACAAGCUUUGAUCCGGCAAUAUCCGAAUGGGGAAACCCACUGCUUCGGCAGUAUCCUGCAGUGAAUUCAUAGCUGCUGGAAGCGAACCCGGUGAACUGAAAUAUCUAAGUAACCGGAGGAAAAGAAAUCAACCGAGAUUCCCUAAGUAGUGACGAGCGAACGGGGAGCAGCCCUUAAGCUGGAAUGGCUUUAGAAAAACAAUCUGGAAAGAUUGGCCAUAGAAGGUGAUAGCCCUGUAUUUAAAAGGGCCACUCCAGUGAAGACGAGUAGGGCGGGGCACGUGAAACCCUGUCUGAAUAUGGGGGGACCAUCCUCCAAGGCUAAAUACUCCUGACCGACCGAUAGUGAACCAGUACCGUGAGGGAAAGGCGAAAAGAACCCCGGAGAGGGGAGUGAAAUAGAUCCUGAAACCGUGUGCGUACAAGCAGUAGGAGCUCGCAAGAGUGACUGCGUACCUUUUGUAUAAUGGGUCAGCGACUUACUGUUCGUGGCAAGCUUAACCGUAUAGGGGAGGCGAAGGGAAACCGAGUCUGAUAAGGGCGCAUAGUCGCGGGCAGUAGACCCGAAACCGGGUGAUCUAGUCAUGGCCAGGGUGAAGGUGCCGUAACAGGUACUGGAGGCCCGAACCCACGUCUGUUGCAAAAGACGGGGAUGAGCUGUGAUUAGGAGUGAAAAGCUAAUCGAACCCGGAGAUAGCUGGUUCUCCUCGAAAGCUAUUUAGGUAGCGCCUCAUAUGUAUCCUCUCGGGGGUAGAGCACUGUUAUGGCUAGGGGGUCAUCGCGACUUACCAAACCAUUGCAAACUCCGAAUACCGAGACGGACUGUAUGGGAGACACACGGCGGGUGCUAACGUCCGUCGUGAAAAGGGAAACAACCCAGACCCACAGCUAAGGUCCCAAAUUCACUGCUAAGUGGAAAACGAUGUGGAAAGGCAUAGACAGCCAGGAGGUUGGCUUAGAAGCAGCCACCCUUUAAAGAAAGCGUAAUAGCUCACUGGUCGAGUCGGUCUGCGCGGAAGAUUUAACGGGGCUAAGCAGUGAACCGAAGCUUGGGGUGCAUAAAACUUGUUUUAUGCGCGGUAGAGGAGCGUUCCGUAAGCCUGCGAAGGUGGAUUGAGAAGUCUGCUGGAGGUAUCGGAAGUGCGAAUGCUGACAUGAGUAACGAUAAUGCGGGUGAAAAGCCCGCACGCCGAAAGCCCAAGGUUUCCUUGCGCAACGUUAAUCGACGCAGGGUUAGUCGGUCCCUAAGGCGAGGGCGAAAGCCGUAGUCGAUGGGAAGCAGGUUAAUAUUCCUGCACCUCGCGUGAGUGCGAUGGAGGGACGGAGAAGGUUAGGUGUACCGGGCGUUGGUUGUCCCGGGGAAAGGCGGUAGGUUUGGAUCUUUGGCAAAUCCGGGAUCCUUUAAGACCGAGCACCGAGACGAGCCUUUAUGGCGAAGUCACUGAUACCACGCUUCCAGGAAAAGCUCCUAAGCUUCAGCUCACGAAGACCGUACCGUAAACCGACACAGGUGGGUAGGAUGAGAAUUCUCAGGCGCUUGAGAGAACUCGGGUGAAGGAACUAGGCAACAUGGCACCGUAACUUCGGGAGAAGGUGCACCCUUUUUGGUGGCUCGUGCGAGCUAUAGCUGAAGAGGGUCGCAGAAACCAGGCCGCUGCGACUGUUUAUCAAAAACACAGCACUCUGCAAACACGAAAGUGGACGUAUAGGGUGUGACGCCUGCCCGGUGCUGGAAGGUUAAUUGAUGGGGUCAGCCGCAAGGCG